AACGAACGCUGGCGGCAUGCCUAACACAUGCAAGUCGAACGAGACCUUCGGGUCUAGUGGCGCACGGGUGCGUCACGCGUGGGAACCUGCCCUUAGGGUCGGAAUAACUCUCCGAAAGGGGUGCUAAUACCGGAUAAUAUCUUCGGACCAAAGAUUUAUCGCCUUUGGAUGGGCCCGCGUUGGAUUCGCUAGUUGGUAGGGUAAAAGCCUCCCACGGCGACGAUCCAUAGCUGGUCUGAGAGGAUGAUCAGCCACACUUGGACUGAGACACGGCCCAGACUCCUACGCGAGGCAGCAGUGGGGAAUAUUGGACAAUGGGCGAAAGCCUGAUCCAGCAAUGCCGCGUGAGUGAUGAAGGCCUUAGGGUUGUAAAGCUCUUUUACCCGGGAUGAUAAUGACAGUACCGGGAGAAUAAGCUCCGGCUAACUCCGUG
RNAcentral lists this ribosomal RNA (433 nucleotides) under uncultured bacterium. RNAcentral's name for it is "partial 16S ribosomal RNA". It matches the Rfam family "Bacterial small subunit ribosomal RNA", at positions 29 to 507 of the family's 1533-position model. The record is from RNAcentral.